AGGAAUUCAGAUCUUCAGAAGAAAAAAAAAAUGCUCGUCAUCUUCAUAGCAAAGUGAUAAGGAAUCAGGCAUAUUGAAUGCCAAAUAAACAUGGAACUGGAAGGAGAUGCUCUCAGGAGGUCUCAGUGGACUCAGAAUAUCCAACCUCCUCCUCAUGAAGCAAAAAUCCAUCAAAGCUCUGGCAAACCUGGCUUCUCAACUCACUAUUUCUAAUUCAUGGCUAUGUCUUCUGACACCCUGGAAGUUCUGAAAAUCUGGUCCAUGUCCUUCCUGCGUUGGAGGCCCCAGAACUUCUAAGGCUCUGGAUGUACAAGAUCAGUCUUAGAAGGAGGGUGCUUUGUCAAGGACUUAUGUGUAACAAAUUGUUUGGGUGUGCAUGUUGGCAGUAUAAACAUAGCAUUGAGCUGAUAUUUUUGGGACAAUUGAACAUAUUGCUAAGAACCUCAGUAAGAUAUUCUUCC
This is a long non-coding RNA of Motacilla alba alba, 461 nucleotides long. RefSeq lists it as uncharacterized. Lineage: Eukaryota; Metazoa; Chordata; Aves; Passeriformes; Motacillidae. The transcript is spliced from 3 exons. The record is from RefSeq and is a predicted model, not a curated record.